This 492-nucleotide ribosomal RNA is filed under the name uncultured bacterium. RNAcentral describes it as "partial 16S ribosomal RNA". It matches the Rfam family "Bacterial small subunit ribosomal RNA", at positions 29 to 507 of the family's 1533-position model. The record is from RNAcentral.
AGUGAACGCUGGCGGUAGGCCUAACACAUGCAAGUCGAACGGCAGCACAGUAAGAGCUUGCUCUUACGGGUUGCGAGUGGCGGACGGGUGAGGAAUACAUCGGAAUCUACUUUUUCGUGGGGGAUAACGUAGGUAAACUUACGCUAAUACCGCAUACGACCUACGGGUGAAAGCAGGGGAUCUUCGGACCUUGCGCGAUUGAAUGAGCCGAUGUCGGAUUAGCUAGUUGGCGGGGUAAAGGCCCACCAAGGCGACGAUCCGUAGCUGGUCUGAGAGGAUGAUCAGCCACACUGGAACUGAGACACGGUCCAGACUACUACGGGAGGCAGCAGUGGGGAAUAUGGGACAAUGGGCGCAAGCCUGAUCCAGCCAUACCGCGUGGGUGAAGAAGGCCUUCGGGUUGUAAAGCCCUUUUGUUGGGAAAGAAAAGCAGCAGGUUAAUACCCCGCUGUUCUGACGGUACCCAAAGAAUAAGCACCGGCUAACUUCGUG